This 468-nucleotide ribosomal RNA is filed under the name uncultured bacterium. Its description in RNAcentral is "partial 16S ribosomal RNA". It matches the Rfam family "Bacterial small subunit ribosomal RNA", at positions 28 to 507 of the family's 1533-position model. The record is from RNAcentral.
GACGAACGCUGGCGGCGUGCUUAACACAUGCAAGUCGAACGGAAAGGCCCUGCUUUUGUGGGGUGCUCGAGUGGCGAACGGGUGAGUAACACGUGAGUAACCUGCCCUUGACUUUGGGAUAACUUCAGGAAACUGGGGCUAAUACCGGAUAGGAGCUCCUGCUGCAUGGUGGGGGUUGGAAAGUUUCGGUGGUUGGGGGUGGACUCGCGGCUUAUCAGCUUGUUGGGGGGGUAGUGGCUUACCAAGGCUUUGACGGGUAGCCGGCCUGGGAGGGGGACCGGCCACAUUGGGACUGGGAUGAGGCCCAGCCUCCUACGGGAGGGAAGGGUGGGGAAUAGUGCACAAUGGGCGGGAGGCUGGUGCAGCCACGCCGCGUGGGGGAAGACGGGCUUCGGGUUGGAAACCGCUUUCCCCUGUGACGGAGGGUUAGUGACGGUAAUGGGUAAAGAAGCACCGGCUAACUACGUG